Small nucleolar RNA from Drosophila melanogaster (fruit fly), 141 nucleotides. The record is from Ensembl. NCBI's taxonomy places the organism in Eukaryota, Metazoa, Arthropoda, Insecta, Diptera, Drosophilidae.
UUGGCAGAACUUAAUUCCGGACCUGGUACACCUUCGGGUGCUAAGUGCGGCCAGACAUUUUGCCAGAACAAAUUCCAGGCAUUGUCGUCUUCAGCAGUUGCCUCAGUGUGGCCUCUGUCUGAACAUGGCACUGUCACAAUC